CCUACGGGAGGCAGCAGUGAGGAAUAUUGGUCAAUGGGCGCGAGCCUGAACCAGCCAAGUAGCGUGAAGGAUGACUGCCCUACGGGUUGUAAACUUCUUUUAUCAAGGAAUAAAGUGAGGCACGUGUGCCUUUUUGUAUGUAAUUUAUAAAUAAGGAUCGGCUAACUCCGUGCCAGCAGCCGCGGUAAUACGGAGGAUCCGAUCGUUAUCCGGAUUUAUUGGGGUUAAAGGGAGCGUAGAUGGGUUGUUAAGUCAGUUGUGAACGUUUGCGGCUCAACCGUAAAAUUGCAAUUGAUACUGGCAGUCUUGAGUACAGUUGAGGUAGGCGGAAUUCGUGGUGUAGCGGUGAAAUGCUUAGAUAUCACGAAGAACUCCGAUUGCGAAGGCAGCUUACUAAACUGCCACUGACAUUGAUGCUCGAAAGUGUGGGUAUCAAACAGGAUUAGAUACCCCUGUAGUC
Molecule: ribosomal RNA, 460 nt
Filed under: uncultured bacterium
Lineage: Bacteria
Description: partial 16S ribosomal RNA
Rfam family: Bacterial small subunit ribosomal RNA
Source: RNAcentral